This 468-nucleotide ribosomal RNA is filed under the name uncultured bacterium. RNAcentral describes it as "partial 16S ribosomal RNA". It matches the Rfam family "Bacterial small subunit ribosomal RNA", at positions 28 to 507 of the family's 1533-position model. The record is from RNAcentral.
GGCGAACGCUGGCGGCGUGCUUAACACAUGCAAGUCGAACGGGAAGGCCCUGCUUUUGUGGGGUGCUCGAGUGGCGAACGGGUGAGUAACACGUGAGUAACCUGCCCUUGACUUUGGGAUAACUUCAGGAAACUGGGGCUAAUACCGGAUAGGAGCUCCUGCUGCAUGGUGGGGGUUGGAAAGUUUCGGCGGUUGGGGAUGGACUCGCGGCUUAUCAGCUUGUUGGUGGGGUAGUGGCUUACCAAGGCUUUGACGGGUAGCCGGCCUGAGAGGGUGACCGGCCACAUUGGGACUGAGAUACGGCCCAGACUCCUACGGGAGGCAGCAGUGGGGAAUAUUGCACAAUGGGCGGAAGCCUGAUGCAGCAACGCCGCGUGCGGGAUGACGGCCUUCGGGUUGUAAACCGCUUUCGCCUGUGACGAAGCGUGAGUGACGGUAAUGGGUAAAGAAGCACCGGCUAACUACGUG